GAUGAACGCUGGCGGCGUGCCUAAUACAUGCAAGUCGAGCGAACAGACGAGGAGCUUGCUCCUCUGACGUUAGCGGCGGACGGGUGAGUAACACGUGGAUAACCUACCUAUAAGACUGGGAUAACUUCGGGAAACCGGAGCUAAUACCGGAUAAUAUAUUGAACCGCAUGGUUCAAUAGUGAAAGACGGUUUUGCUGUCACUUAUAGAUGGAUCCGCGCCGCAUUAGCUAGUUGGUAAGGUAACGGCUUACCAAGGCAACGAUGCGUAGCCGACCUGAGAGGGUGAACGGCCACACGGGAACUGAGACCCGGUCCAGACUCCUACGGGAGGCAGCAGGAGGGAACUUUCCGCAAUGGGCGAAAGCUUGACGGAGCAACGCCGCGUGAGUGAUGAAGGUCUUCGGAUCGUAAAACUCUGUUAUUAGGGAAGAACAAAUGUGUAAGUAACUAUGCACGUCUUGACGGUACCUAAUCAGAAAGCCACGGCUAACUACGU
RNAcentral lists this ribosomal RNA (496 nucleotides) under uncultured bacterium. RNAcentral's name for it is "partial 16S ribosomal RNA". It matches the Rfam family "Bacterial small subunit ribosomal RNA", at positions 28 to 506 of the family's 1533-position model. The record is from RNAcentral.